AUGAGCGGCGCCGACAUCAAGAACUCCUUCUUGAGUAGCUUCGAGGACAUCGAUACUUACAUUGGGAACGUGACGACAGAGAUUGUGAAGAACGUCGUGCAAAUACAAAAGCUUGGUGUGAAAAAGGUGCUAGUCAACAACAUGCAUCCCAUUGGUUGCACGCCUUUGAGGACUAGUACGAACAACUACACCACAUGUGACCUUCUUGCCAACUACGCCGCGUCCGUGCAUAACAAAAAUCUAAAGCAGUUGAUGGGCAAAAAGAAUAACGCCUACAUGCUGGACCUGUACACCGCCUUCACCGACAUCAUCAAUCAUGCCCCAGGACAAAGAGCAACAGCAGCGGGCUGUGCUGACGAUGCCGGAGUCGACACAAACGACAACAUCAACAGAGGCGAGGUCGAGGCACCCUGCGAGCUCGCGCCAGAGUCUCCUAGCAACGGGGAGGCAGGCGGCAUCAAGCCCUGUGCGGCCGGCCCAUCUAGAGCCGGGGAGGCGGGUGGCGAUGGGCCCUGCGAGGCUAGCCCACCAAGAGCCGGGGUGAGGUCGGCCAGUGCAGGAGAAACAGCUGCUGGGCCUGACGAGGUGGCAGCCCGCCUAGGCGAAGCAACCACCGAGACGAGCGAGGUCGGCGCCCGCGGGGCGACUGCGGGUGCAGCAUCCACGGGCUGA
This 672-nucleotide ribosomal RNA is filed under the name Triticum aestivum (bread wheat). RNAcentral describes it as "partial small subunit ribosomal RNA". Lineage: Eukaryota; Viridiplantae; Streptophyta; Magnoliopsida; Poales; Poaceae. The record is from RNAcentral.